UGAGGAAUAUUGGUCAAUGGGCGCGAGCCUGAACCAGCCAAGUCGCGUGAGGGAGGACGGCCCUACGGGUCGUAAACCUCUUUUGCCGGGGAGCAACGGGCGUCACGUGUGGCGCCACUGAGAGUACCCGGAGAAAAAGCAUCGGCUAACUCCGUGCC
RNAcentral lists this ribosomal RNA (158 nucleotides) under uncultured bacterium. RNAcentral describes it as "partial 16S ribosomal RNA". It matches the Rfam family "Bacterial small subunit ribosomal RNA", at positions 355 to 509 of the family's 1533-position model. The record is from RNAcentral.